Molecule: long non-coding RNA, 800 nt
Organism: Chenopodium quinoa (quinoa)
Lineage: Eukaryota; Viridiplantae; Streptophyta; Magnoliopsida; Caryophyllales; Amaranthaceae
Exons: 6
Source: RefSeq, a predicted model, not a curated record
UAGGUUUAAAUUAAAAAUUAAAAAAUCUAAUUUGGCAGACAAAGUACAGUUCAGAAAGUCUGAACUAAAAGUAAAACUAUUAAAACUGAAACAAAAAAGUAAAAUAAAAAAUAAAACCCCAAAAUUCUCCACUUUUCUUGGUUGUUGUUAAUUUGGUAGACUUGGUUGGUUGGUAAAGACUCUCUCUUUAUCACCGGCCGCCAUCUGCCGGUUACCGUCCGCCGGCCUCUGUCCUCUGAUCUCGAGAGGAGAUUCAAAAGAAAACGAAUGGAAUCUAUGGCGUGUUGAGGACAUUGAGGAUCACUAAUAUGAAUAUGAGAAGAUGGCAUGAAGGUGGUUCUUAAGAGGGAUAAUCAGGAAGAGGAUGACUAAUACGGGGAAGAUGAAUCCGAAUGUCGAGGAAAAAAGGAAAAUUUGCAAAACUUUCAAGCUUAAGAUCAAUGAACCAAGGAGGCAAGCUGCUUACUAUACUGAUUUUGGUGGAGAGCAAACUUUGCAGUCAACUACAGUAAUACAUAACAAUACCCAGCAAUCACAAUCGACUCAAGGAUAUGGCUAACAAAAAAAGUGGACCUUACAACCAUAAUCUAAAUCAAUGAUGUGAGAAGUUACAUAAUAAAUCAAACUUGAGAAAUGUUUAACAUUUUGAGAUUAUCUAGUUACAAUUUUCGCAUUUUGGGCUCUACAUACUCUUAACAUUUUGGAGUUUUCUUCUACAAUGUAUUUUUUUUGUAGAGUCAAAGUCUAAAAUUUAUCUUUUGACAGUUGUAAUUAACAAAUUUAGGAGAAUUUUUUAUUAA